Molecule: RNA transcript, 1717 nt
Organism: Diospyros lotus (date-plum)
Lineage: Eukaryota; Viridiplantae; Streptophyta; Magnoliopsida; Ericales; Ebenaceae
Gene name: LOB domain-containing protein 36-like
Exons: 3
Source: RefSeq, a predicted model, not a curated record
ACAAACACGUACGUACAUGGAUGGGAUAACUAUUCCCUACUUUCUUCUUCGUUUCAGGGAUGGAUCUUGAGACUUGAAGAUCGGAUCCAGCACACUCCAACCCUAGACCCUCAUCUCUCCCUCUCGAUCGCUUCUUCGCUUUGUGUGAUCAUCUGGUUGCGGCGGAGUCAUCGGGGAUGAUAUAGACAGAAAUAACCGUCGACGACGUCGGACUCGAAUUAGAGCUGUAGAAACCAGGAUGUCGUCGUCGAGCUCUCCGUGCGCCGCCUGCAAGUUGCUCCGGAGAAAAUGCACGCAAGAAUGCGUUUUAGCUCCCUAUUUCCCGCCCGACGAGCCCCAAAAGUUCGCCAACGUCCACAAAGUAUUCGGCGCCAGCAACGUAGGGAAGAUCCUCAACGAGCUCAAAGCCAGCGACCGCGAAGACGCCGUCAAUUCCCUGGCCUACGAAGCAAAUGCCCGCAUCGAAGACCCAGUCUACGGGUGCGUCGGUCUCAUCUCCAUCCUCCAGCACCGGCUGAGGCAAGUCCACAACGAUCUCUACGCCGCCAAGAAAGAAUUGGCCAAUUACAUCGGACCCUCGGCAAUGUUGCCCAUCUUCCAGCAGCCGGGCUUCGUUCCACAUCAUCCAAACAAUCCCUCUUCCUCUUCAUUUCUUCCUUACAACGUGCCGCCGCAGAUGAUGGGUCCGAGCACCCAGUUGGUGAUCGCCGAGCCGCAGCAGCAAAUGCUGGAGGCCCAGCAGCAACAGGAGAUGUUGCGGGCUUAUCAGCAGCAACAAGAGAUUGUGAGAUUUAACAGUGAGUAUGAACCGGGGGUUUGUGGAAGUGGUGGCUUCAACCAGAUGGGCGGUAGUUCAUAUGAAAACCCUUAUCAGAUUUCGGAGCAGCCACAGGAGCAAGGUCAGCAUCAUCUUCACCUUCAAUUUCAGUCGCAGCUUGUACUUCAGCAGCAUCAGAGGUCCGGGAGCGAUGAGGAUCGAGGCAUUGGGCCUUCCUGUUGAAGUUAUUGAUUAAUUUGGAGCUCUCUCGCGUCAAAUGCCUCUGCUUAGCUGCUUAGUCAUUCCUUGGACAAAAUUCAAUUCCGGCUUAUUUGUACCUGCCUUCCACAUAACGUACGAACAAAGCCAAGAACAGAGGUGUUCAGUGUUCUUAUAAUGGUGUAGUUGGAAAUUUCCAAGCAAUUUUAUGUAAAUUACAUUUUGUUUUGGGGGGCUUGAAGAAGAGACUUAAUUUGUCGAUGGGGAGGCAGCAAAGAUCUGUAGUCUACAUCUACCGGACCCUCUUCUGUUCUACUUAAUUAGAGAUCUAAGCUUCGAUGUAAAUAAGCAUUCAAUUAAUUAUGGACUUUUAUUUUAAAUUUCCAUGUGUGAGCAACCAGCAGCUUCUGUUGAAACAUUGCCAGUGCUUCAUUAUUGCCGUCCCAAGUCACCUACAUUUUAUGCACCCCAAGGAAGGCCAAUGGAUCAUCACUCUGGCUGUAGCGCACUUUGCCAUUUUGGGUUAGGACUUGUUCAUCCGUAGAUGAAAUGAUUUAUAAUGUUGUCAUUUUGGCAAAGGAACUGAGUCUUUGUUUUUCUUUUUUUCUAAAGAAGAUGAGUAAUCAAUAAAGUAGUACUGUGGAGGGGGGCUUAGCAAUUGCGACAUAAAACUAUUGAUGACUUCACACUGCUCAGUGGUUUAUCCUUGUUUGCCCGCAAUAAACUGCAUACUAUUCAUGA